GAGAGAAAAAAGAGAGAGAGAAAGGAGAAAGGAGAAGAAGUUAGGGUUUGGGAGAGAGGAAGAGCGGAUCACAAACCUCCGUUGGAGAUCGAAAUAGAAGGCAAGAAACUUCGAAGCAAUACUUCUCUCGGUGCAGGAAAAGGAGUUUGGGUGGUGGAUCCACUCAUUCCGACAAGAAAAUCCGAGAACGAACAAAGUUUCUUGAAGUUCUUGGACGAGAAUCGGACGAAAAUCGGAGUUUAGUCGGACUUCGGGUAAACCGGUCGAAAACAGAAAAUGAGAGAGAAAACGUUGGCCGGCGUACGGAGGAAAGAGGCGGACCCGCGAUCGACACGUGGCGAACUGCGACUGGAGAGGCGUGUCCCACAAGCUAGUCGACACGCGUCAGGGUGCGGAUUCGGGUCAACCCGAGUCCGAUCCAGCGCUCUACACGCAACCCAAGAACCACGCGAACCGAAUCGAACCGAAUUGGUCGGUGGCCCGCGACUGGGCGGGAAGCUGCGUGUCAUCGCUCGUGUAGGCGGGUGAGUGACUGUUUUCCCUCCAUUCGACCUCUGUUUGCUUGUUUUUCGCCCGGAUUUCAACUCUGAUCCUAUUUUUAUGUGAAUUAUGACCUAUCAAGAAAAUUCCAGAAUUUUUGGAACCUUUUCCGACAAAUAAUUCGAGCUUGGGAAGGCACGCAUCAACCAUGUAAGUAGCCAUUUGGAUUCCCACGAGCAGUACUUGUAGGAACCGCUAGGAACAAGCAUGCAUGCUACCACCCAUUAACUUAGCUAGCCAGACCUAGUAUAUUAGUAUGGAAACUGCGAAAAUUAAAUGAUUAAGGAAAGCUUGAUAUGAAAUGUUUAUUAAAUUUGUUUGAUUGAGAUUCUGAUGAAGUAUGUAUGCAUGAAGAGGAUGGAAAACUUGUGAAAUCUGCACUCCGGGUAAAGAUGGACAUUAUCUUCCCGUUGAGCAUGUUUGUUAAUAUUGCAUGAACUGCUGCGUGUUAACUCUUCUACGUGAUGAUUGCUUGUGUUGUCUUUCUUGAUGAAUAGGAAGAAAUUACGAGCUUAGAUUAGGGUGCUUGUGAUUAAGUAGGCUAGAUGAGACCCUAGAUUGGGGGACCUCUAGAAUACCGUGCAAUUAGACCCGCGAAAUGAUUACCGGCGAUCCAGAGCCCAGAAUUCCAAACCCGAUAGGUUUAUGAGAUCAGGCACGAGAGUCCUAGAGAUACAUGAAUCCAAGUCUAAGCCACCAAGUUCCACCCUAGAAAGAAUAAUAGGUCACCACGGUAACUGUAGGUAGCCCGCUAGAGUUGAGCAG
This is an RNA transcript of Cucurbita maxima (winter squash), 1305 nucleotides long. RefSeq lists it as uncharacterized. NCBI's taxonomy places the organism in Eukaryota, Viridiplantae, Streptophyta, Magnoliopsida, Cucurbitales, Cucurbitaceae. The record is from RefSeq and is a predicted model, not a curated record. The transcript is spliced from 3 exons.